UGUAAGCUAUUCACCUUAUUUUCCAUGGCAACAACGGUGCCGCCAUUGCGCUCGUUUUGUCAUCUUACUUCCGGCUGAGGGACCGGAUGUAACGUACCUAAGCUAGUGGCUGGCUAGAUAACAGAACGCAGAACGAACAGAAGUAUGAUAUAUGCUCAGUUAGGGGCUGCAUAACAAUUGUAUUAAAAAAUAAUUGCACCAACGAUGUAGCGAACACAUUGUGACGCGGUCGGAGUGCUGUGGUGCACUUUACAAUUUACACCCACCACCUAAAGAAGAGAAGCACCUGAGGAAAUGGAUGAAGGCGCUAAAUUUGAAGCGCCCACCCAAGCGCUCUUAUGUGUGUUCGUACCAUUUCAUGGACGGGAAGGCGACUGACGAACACUUUUACCCCGAGAAAUGGCUCGACUACGAUGUCCCGUUAAAGAGGUCACGCCGGGGAUGGAAAGGUUAUCAGAUUCGGAUGUAUCGAUGACCGCCAGUGAUGCAGUGGACAGCUGUGAGGGUGAUCAGAUCCACAUGCCCCUGAUCUUGCUGAAAGUCACCAGAAGUUACCUGCUGUGAUAGUUAUUUUUUAUGAACCUUUACAAAGUCACCAAAAGUUACCUGCUGUAAUAGUUAUUAUUAACCUUUACAGUGUCACCUGACAUUACCUGCUGUAAAUAGUUUUUAUUUAUUUAUCUUAAUUUGAUCUUUUUUUCAUCUUUAAUCUCUGAUUUGAAGGAAUAACUCAUGUCAAGUUUGCAAGUUAAUUCCAUCUUGGUUUAUUACAUAUGGAAAUUAAAUGUUGAAAUUUUAUAGGAUGGUCAGUAGAAGGUGUCUCUUGCUUCCUGAAAACAACAAACACUGAUCAAUACAUCACAAAUGAUUUUAUACAACUUAUAUUAAAUGAUCCAUGUUCUAAAAAACAAA
This is a long non-coding RNA of Carassius gibelio (silver crucian carp), 912 nucleotides long. RefSeq lists it as uncharacterized. NCBI's taxonomy places the organism in Eukaryota, Metazoa, Chordata, Actinopteri, Cypriniformes, Cyprinidae. The transcript is spliced from 2 exons. The record is from RefSeq and is a predicted model, not a curated record.